Molecule: ribosomal RNA, 253 nt
Filed under: uncultured bacterium
Lineage: Bacteria
Description: partial 16S ribosomal RNA
Rfam family: Bacterial small subunit ribosomal RNA
Source: RNAcentral
UACAGAGGUCCCAAGCGUUGUUCGGAUUUACUGGGCGUAAAGGGUGCGUAGGAGGCUUGGAAAGUCAGGUGUGAAAUCUCACCGCUUAACGGUGAAAUGGCGCUUGAUACUCCCGAGCUAGAAGAUCGGAGGGGAGAACGGAAUUCCUGGUGUAGCGGUGAAAUGCGUAGAUAUCAGGAGGAACACCAGCGGCGAAGGCAGUUCUCUGGACGAUUCUUGACUCUGAGGCACGAAGGCCAGGGGAGCAAACGGG